RNAcentral lists this long non-coding RNA (260 nucleotides) under Citrus maxima (pomelo). RNAcentral's name for it is "long non-coding RNA (CMAX_LNC002498)". Lineage: Eukaryota; Viridiplantae; Streptophyta; Magnoliopsida; Sapindales; Rutaceae. The record is from RNAcentral.
UAGAAUGACAUGCAUUACAAAAGAGGUUAGUUAAUUAGCAUUGUAGAAAUAGGGAAAUGGUAAUUGUCACCGGAUUACAUUGUAGUGGGUUCAAUUGGGUUACCAUGAUUGUAUUGUAGAUUCGAAAAGAAGUUGGAUCCACGUAUAAGAAUUUGCCAGCGGAGGAAAAGUGUCGGUAUAAAAGUGAGGCGAAACGAGUAAGGAAGUCAAAAAUUGGGAAGGCAAAGUUCCUCACGAGAUGUGCUCCAGAUAGAUUAGCU